Molecule: small nuclear RNA, 108 nt
Organism: Meriones unguiculatus (Mongolian gerbil)
Lineage: Eukaryota; Metazoa; Chordata; Mammalia; Rodentia; Muridae
Source: Ensembl
GUCUGCUGAGUCCACAGUAAGACACACACUAAAAUUUGAAUGAUACCAUGAUUAGCAUGGGCCGUGAGCAAGAAUGUCAUGCAAAUUUGUGAGGUGUUCCAUUUCUUU